Molecule: ribosomal RNA, 427 nt
Filed under: uncultured bacterium
Lineage: Bacteria
Description: bacterial SSU rRNA
Rfam family: Bacterial small subunit ribosomal RNA
Source: RNAcentral
CCAAGAGACCGGCGCACGGGUGCGUUAACGCGUAUGCAAUCUACCUUUGCAGAGGGAUAGGCCCAGAGAAAUUUGAUUAUACCUCAUAGUAUAGUACUUUGGCAUCAAGGAACUAUUAAAGUCACAACGGCAAAAGAUGAGCAUGCGUCCCAUUAGCUAGUUGGUAAGGUAACGGCUUACCAAGGCUACGAUGGGUAGGGGUCCUGAGAGGGAGAUCCCCCCACACUGGUACUGAGACACGGACCAGACUCCUACGGGAGGCAGCAGUGAGGAAUAUUGGACAAUGGGCGCAAGCCUGAUCCAGCAAUGCCGCGUGCAGGAUGAAGGCCUUCGGGUUGUAAACUGCUUUUGUACGGAACGAAAAGGCUCUUUCUAAUAAAGAGGGCCCAUGACGGUACCGUAAGAAUAAGCACCGGCUAACUACGUG